Molecule: ribosomal RNA, 253 nt
Filed under: uncultured bacterium
Lineage: Bacteria
Description: partial 16S ribosomal RNA
Rfam family: Bacterial small subunit ribosomal RNA
Source: RNAcentral
UACGUAGGGUGCAAGCGUUGUCCGGAAUUAUUGGGCGUAAAGAGCUCGUAGGCGGUUUGUUGCGUCGGCUGUGAAAACCUGAGGCUCAACCUCAGGCCUGCAGUCGAUACGAGCAGACUAGAGUGAUGUAGGGGAGACUGGAAUUCCUGGUGUAGCGGUGAAAUGCGCAGAUAUCAGGAGGAACACCGAUGGCGAAGGCAGGUCUCUGGGCAGUAACUGACGCUGAGGAGCGAAAGCAUGGGGAGCGAACAGG